Long non-coding RNA from Astyanax mexicanus (Mexican tetra), 1125 nucleotides. RefSeq lists it as uncharacterized. NCBI's taxonomy places the organism in Eukaryota, Metazoa, Chordata, Actinopteri, Characiformes, Acestrorhamphidae. The transcript has 5 exons. The record is from RefSeq and is a predicted model, not a curated record.
CUAACUUUUAAUGUUUAAUCUGUGAUCAGGAGGAAGAGAGGAACAGAGAGAGACACACAUAUUCAGGGUCAGAAUCCUGCAGACGACACUUACACAGCUCUGAACCUCACCACCAUCAGCUCAGACUAUGAUACACUGCAGCAUGUUAGAGACUCUCCCAGUGAUACUUACUCAGCUCUGAACCCCACCACCAUCAGCUCAGACUAUGAUACCCUACAACAUGUUAAAGACUCUUCCAGUGACACGUACACAACCUUAAACCCUGCAACCAUGUCCUCAGAUUAUGACUCUCUGUCAGGUGUGAGGAGUCCAGCAGAGAAGAGCUUCAGCAGCAGAUCAUGAAAAAGUGCAGAGACUCUCCAAAUAGAAACCACAGAAAGUUUCACACACAACGCUGAGUGUGUAUCUCUUUCACCAUCUCUCUCUCUCACACACACCCACACACACCCACACACAAGCAACACAGUGAGGGUUUUAAUCAGAGUUCCAGCAGGAUUUCUGUCUAAUGCAGCAAAUCUUCUGUUUGUUUUCUGUUUGUGUUAUUCUAUAAAGUUUUGAUCGUUUUAAUAUUUACAAUUGUUUAUUCUUAUUCUAUACAAUUUAGCGCAGAAACCGUGUUUCCUUUACUUACAUUUUUUUUUAUUUCAUUUUAGACAGUAUAAACUCAAUAUAUUUCAUGUUUUGUUUGGUCAACUUGAUUUUGUUCAUUUAUAUAGACUCUUACCUUCCUGCAACACAUUCAAAAAACAUUGUGUUGGUAAAACUUACAAUUUCUUAUCACACCACAUUCUGUUUGAGAGAUUGAAGAACUUUGUGGACAUUUCUAUUGCACUUAAUAAUGAUUACAAUUAUCUGUUUACAUCACCUGUUUCUGAAUACUGUAUCAUUUAGCAUUUUCUUUGCAGUAAGAGCUUAUUGUAACCUUGUAAAUGCUUUAUGCUUUUCUGCUCCUUAUAAAAAAUCCAUGUGCUACACAUUUCAGUUGAGAGAGAUAACCGUUUAUUUGUAUUUCUUUUAUUUCUCUUUAUGUUACUGUUUCCUACAUAAUUCAACUAUUAGGUUAAAAGAAAAGCUAAAGUUAUUCAGAGUGCGUUUGGUGUAAAAAUGUUGUUCUGAGCAUCUGUC